AGGGCCGCGGUAAUUUGACCGUGCGAAGGUAGCAUAAUCAUUAGUCUUUUAAUUGGAGGCUUGUAUGAAUGGUUGGAUGAGGGACAUUCUGUCUUUUUGAGUUGUAUUGAAUUUAACUUUUAAGUGAAAAGGCUUAAAUUGUUUAGGGGGACGAUAAGACCCUAUAAAACUUUAUAUAAUUUUAAUUUAUUAUGGUUGGAUUUAGUUUAAAGCUAUUUUAUGUGGGUUAUAUUUCGUUGGGGAGAUGUUUAUAUAAUUUGUAACUGUUUUAAAAAAUUGAAUAAUUAUAAUUAGUUUAUGAUCCUUUAUUAAAGAUUAGAAGAUUAAGUUACUUUAGGGAUAACAGCGUAAUUUUCUCUGAGAGUUCUUAUCGACGAGAGUAGUUGCGACCUCGAUGUUGAAUUAAAAUUNUCUGGCUGGUGUAGUCGCUUGUCUAGUGGGUCUGUUCGACCUUUAAAAUUUU
RNAcentral lists this ribosomal RNA (463 nucleotides) under Michaelimenes sp. 1 SV-2023a. RNAcentral's name for it is "partial large subunit ribosomal RNA". It matches the Rfam family "Bacterial large subunit ribosomal RNA", at positions 1927 to 2597 of the family's 2925-position model. Lineage: Eukaryota; Metazoa; Arthropoda; Malacostraca; Decapoda; Palaemonidae. The record is from RNAcentral.